AGCAGCCGCGGUAAUUCCAGCUCCAAUACCGUAUAUUAAAGUUGUUGCAGUUAAAAAGCUCGUAGUUGAAUUUCGGGGUCAGUAGGUUGGUCAUGCCACUGGUAUGUACUGGUCUCACUGAUUCCUCCUUCCUGAUGAGCCGUAAUGCCAUUAAUUUGGUGUUGCGAGGAAUCUGGACUGUUACUUUGAAAAAUUAGAGUGUUUAAAGCAGGCUAACGCUUGAAUACAUUAGCAUGGAAUAAUGAAAUAGGACGUUCGAUCUUAUUUUGUUGGUUUCUAAGAUUGACGUAAUGAUUAAUAGGGAUAGUUGGGGGCAUUAGUAUUCAAUUGUCAGAGGUGAAAUUCUUGGAUUUAUUGAAGACUAACUACUGCGAAAGCAUUUGCCAAGGAUGUUUUCAUUAAUCAAGAACGAAAGUUAGGGGAUCGAAGACGAUCAGAUACCGUCGUAGUCUUAACCAUAAACUAUGCCGACUAGGGAUCGGAUGAUGUUAAUUUUUAAUGACUCAUUC
This 509-nucleotide ribosomal RNA is filed under the name uncultured Glomus. RNAcentral's name for it is "SSU rRNA". It matches the Rfam family "Eukaryotic small subunit ribosomal RNA", at positions 569 to 1081 of the family's 1831-position model. The record is from RNAcentral. Lineage: Eukaryota; Fungi; Glomeromycota; Glomeromycetes; Glomerales; Glomeraceae.